UCCCUCCUAGCUCAGUCGGUAAAGAAUCUGCCUGCAGUGCAGGAGAUCUGGGUUCGAUUCCUGGGUUGGGAA
Molecule: transfer RNA, 72 nt
Filed under: Capra hircus (goat)
Lineage: Eukaryota; Metazoa; Chordata; Mammalia; Artiodactyla; Bovidae
Also listed under: 1 other name
Rfam family: tRNA
About the family: Transfer RNA (tRNA) molecules are approximately 80 nucleotides in length. Their secondary structure includes four short double-helical elements and three loops (D, anti-codon, and T loops). Further hydrogen bonds mediate the characteristic L-shaped molecular structure. tRNAs have two regions of fundamental functional importance: the anti-codon, which is responsible for specific mRNA codon recognition, and the 3' end, to which the tRNAs corresponding amino acid is attached (by aminoacyl-tRNA synthetases). tRNAs cope with the degeneracy of the genetic code in two manners: having more than one tRNA (with a specific anti-codon) for a particular amino acid; and 'wobble' base-pairing, i.e. permitting non-standard base-pairing at the 3rd anti-codon position.
Source: Rfam by way of RNAcentral